This 398-nucleotide unclassified non-coding RNA is filed under the name fungal sp. RNAcentral's name for it is "partial internal transcribed spacer region". The stretch from base 1 to 46 matches the Rfam family "Eukaryotic small subunit ribosomal RNA", at positions 1786 to 1831 of the family's 1831-position model. Lineage: Eukaryota; Fungi. The record is from RNAcentral.
AAGUCGUAACAAGGUUUCCGUAGGUGAACCUGCGGAAGGAUCAUUACUUGUAGCUUAUAGUCCCAUUUGGAUUAUAACGAUACAAACAAACACCAAACUGUGCUCUUUCUUUCACAACCCACUCAUGUUGCUAUGGUCUGUCAUGCUACCACAUGGCACCCCAUAUCACAUCUUACCUUUCAAUAAUAUCAACUGACCCUAUUGUGUGUUGAAACCGUGCGUUUCCACUCACAUCUGUACUAUCUAUUGCUUUCCAUGGGUAUCGUAUUUCACGUUACCCUGGUGAUCGAUGAAAGUACUUGUUGAAUGAUGGGAUGGCUAUAGGUGGCAUGGGUUCGCCCGUGCUCCUGUUGCCAUUCUAUUGCAAACAACUCCGAACAAUGGAUAUCUCGGCUCUC